CCCCCCCCCCCCCCCUACGGAAAUACUUGUCAUAAAAAUGGAUAAAAUAAGAUGUAUCUAGACGUAUUUUAGUUUCUAGAAACAUCCUUUUUUAUCCAUUUUGAUGACAAGUAUUUUCUGACGGAGGGAGUACCAA
Triticum urartu is the source of this 136-nucleotide non-coding RNA. The record is from Rfam. Lineage: Eukaryota; Viridiplantae; Streptophyta; Magnoliopsida; Poales; Poaceae.